AAGAAGAGAUGGCAUCCUUCACACCGUCUCUUUGCUGCUUUCAACAGCCAUUACACGCUGUACUGGAGCUGAAAAAAUAUUGCCGCACCCACCAGGACCCUUCUCUCAUGGACUACACAAACGUGUGUUUGACCUGCCAGGGCUCCAGAUGUCCUGGAGCAGCUCUUAAAGACCAUCAGACACCAGGCUGGAGCAGAACUGUAGCACCUGUCACACAGUGGGCUCUUCUCUGCUAAAUCUCCCAGAGAUAUGCCCGUCUUCAACAAAACCUGAGGUAAUGUCUUGGUGAACUUGUGUUCAUUUCUUUAUUCCCAGUAAUCUUAUCUGCUGUAUUAUUGCUUGUGACGUCAUUGUACAGCUCUGCUGGUAUCAUUGUCUUUAACAGCAGUGUUUUUUCUCAGGUCUUUUUCAAGCCAGUUAAGAGAGGAAGAACAGCUUAGACACUCAGGCAGCUGAACGCACCAAAGGUAGACAUCAUGCAGCCACCCUGAGCCUUGAGCCUCUCUGUGUGAGGAAGCUUUGCUGCUGCAGACCUGGUGAAGUGGCUCUGAAAAGAAAUAUUUAGCUCUGCAGCAGUGCUGAAGGUAUUCAUUGUAAUUGUAUGUGUAUUUAUUCAGCAUGUUUAGUUUCAUAGAUUAUCAACACAAAUGUUUCAGUGUAUUUCCUGUUUUGAACCAGCUACAUUCUCCUACUUCAAAUCAGUGUCUGUUCAUCCACAGUGUAGCCAGUGCAGCUCAGCAGAGUCCUACUGAUGGUGAUCCUUAAGUCCUGCAGUCCUGUGAAGCAAGCUGCAGCAAAUAUCACAUUCAGCUCAUCAGUUCAUCCUCAUGGCAGCUUUAAACUUUCCCUGAGGUAACGCUGUAUUUCCUUGCCCCAUAACAACAAUCUUUUUUGACCAACAAACAAAAGCACAGUAUUACUGUUAGAACAUGAUUUUUGUUUUGAUUACAAAGUUCAAGUGAAGGGGAUUUUGUUUUGUUUUUUCAGGCCUCUCCUCCUCCUGCCUGACUCCAGUGAUGCUGUCAACUCAAACACUGAUAACUGCUCACAGCGAUUCUACAACCACAGGUCAAAGGUUAAAACAUCACCUCACUUUAAACCUUCACUCUGAACUGUAGCGGGCUCUGCUUUUGGUUUUGAACGAAAGUGCCCAGACAGAACACAGUACUCACUUGAGGAACUGACUGAUUGUCUUCAGGACAGGACAACUAUUACUCUUAUACUGUUUUGAAUUGUGGUUACUACAUUGUGUGAUCAGUUGUAUCUGUUGAUAUUUUAAGUUUCCUUUGUGGGUUAUUUUUUACUUUAUUUUUUUCAUUUUAUCUUAGUGUUUCCUUUCC
Molecule: non-coding RNA, 1340 nt
Organism: Xyrichtys novacula (pearly razorfish)
Lineage: Eukaryota; Metazoa; Chordata; Actinopteri; Labriformes; Labridae
Source: the annotation of a GenBank genome assembly